Molecule: unclassified non-coding RNA, 845 nt
Filed under: Hevea brasiliensis (rubber tree)
Lineage: Eukaryota; Viridiplantae; Streptophyta; Magnoliopsida; Malpighiales; Euphorbiaceae
Source: RNAcentral
UUUCAAAAUCUUCUCGCCGAAAAAGAAGAAGAGCUAUGAGAAAUAGGAAAGCCGAUUAUCCUUCUCCAAGAAGCAGUCCUGAUCAUUUCCUUAAUAUUGAUAAAACAUCAAAUGCUGGUGUCUUGAUAGCUCACUCCAGCCCUGAUAGAGAUUGUGCUCCUGGUGAAGAUCCUUCUGAGAUGAGCGACAGCUUGCUGAUAGAAAAAACUGAACCAGGCAUGAAGCUGGGGUCCACUAAAAUUUCUGGAAAUGAACUGCAGUCUGCUGAAACUUCUAGUGUUUUAAAUUCAACAGUCAAUGAUGAGUUAGCGAUGGCAAAAAUGGACUCCCCCAGACAGGAAAGUAGAACCUUGGAGAACUUAGCGGUUCAUAUCGACAGACCUGAUUUUGUAACUGUUAGCAGUCAGCCAGGGAACUCAUUGUCAAAGAUAGCUGAUGUAUAUGGUGAAGUUCCUAGUGAAACUCCGAAAGAUAGAGUAAUCAAAUACACUUUUCAAAGAAAGAGGAAGAGAGAGCAGUUGAGUGUAUCAGAAGAGAGUGCUCGAAUUGAGAAGAGCUCUCCAAAGGAAGUAAAUGGAGAAAAAGCAAAUGGUCAUGUAGAGCCAAAAAUGUCAAAUUCAGCGACAGAAUCAUCACGGGACAGUCGCCGAAUGGCACAGGUUGCACGACAGCUAAUUUCUUUGUCUGAGAAGAAGUGGUGGAAGUGAAUAAAGAGUUCACGCCAACGCGGAGUAGUGGCAGCAGAAAUCCAUGAUGUUCUUUCCACCCUUGGAGAUCAUUUCGAGAAGGACGCGAAGGAUAAGGACUGAGAGUUGAUUGAAUUGAUAAAUGAAGGCAUGAUAUUA